Molecule: non-coding RNA, 925 nt
Organism: Equus caballus (horse)
Lineage: Eukaryota; Metazoa; Chordata; Mammalia; Perissodactyla; Equidae
Source: RefSeq, a predicted model, not a curated record
UGCUCUUUGAACGUCUCAAUUUGCCAGUCCCCACUCCCACUUUGCCCCAUCUUGCUCCAAGGCUGGCAAACUUUGCUGGAGAAAACCACAAAAGUACUGAUGGAGCUGUCUGCCACUUGUGUCUGUCUUGGCCUGGACCUCAGUGGCAUUAGUCAUCUGUAUGAGAUCAGAAGUUUGAAGAGGCUUGAUUGGUUCUCAAACACUGGGCCAUUCCUCAAGACAUCCACCCUGGCUCUCCUUCAGAAGACUGGCUCUGGCUCUGACAUCUGCCUCAGGUCUGGAAACUGAGAAAAUGAUCAAGAUCUUUCACUACAGCAGCUGACAUCAGUCUUUGGCUCACCUGCUCUUGACACAGUUCAGGCAACACAUUCCAAUCUUACUGCUAGGAACACCACAGUUGCUUAGUAACUGCUCCCUGGUUCCUCCAAAUAAGGGUCCAAGUUGCUGUUGCAACUUUUCUGCUGUUACAAUCAUCUGUCCACCUUGCCUUUGAUGAUUAAGUGCUGUCAACUGUGCUGCGCUCUUCCUGAAGCCUAUCAUCCUAAAUGUCAUCCCCAACACUGUGGAAGCCUGGACCCACGGCAGCCUAGAAAGGACAAUCACCCGGAGCUUCUCAACAAUGCUGGUGGCUCCCUCACUGGCAUAUUCCUUAUUUUACUAGUAAAGAGUGUGCUUUCUGGGUUCUCUGAGAGACUGGUUAAUUGGUAGGUUCUCUGGUCUCAUAUGAUAAAUCUAUUUCUGUAUGCCUAUCUCACUGAACAUUCUAGCCCUUCUGCUGCCAAGGCAGUUCUGGCAUUAACAUCUCAUUUACUCGAGGCCAUCAUUAUUUCCAAGUUGUAGGUCAUUAUCUCAGCAGCAGAGUAGGACUGGCUCUAGGUGUCCUCACCAGCAUGCUAAAUCUUGAGUCAUGGGAGAGUGCCCACAU